RNAcentral lists this long non-coding RNA (863 nucleotides) under Linum usitatissimum (flax). RNAcentral's name for it is "long non-coding RNA (LUSI_LNC005028)". The record is from RNAcentral. Lineage: Eukaryota; Viridiplantae; Streptophyta; Magnoliopsida; Malpighiales; Linaceae.
UCCCCCUGGGAAGCCAUACUCUCUCCAAUGAGACCAGUUAGUCUCCGGCUGUCACAGUGCUAAGUAAUGAUGAGGAGGAGGAGAGGCAGAACCAUCACUUCCAUCACCUCCAAUUUAAUUUCCCUCCCGUAGAACCUAACCAAGAUGAGUUUAAUCUGGUUAGGGCCUCCCUCAUGACCUCCCUAUAUCACCUUCCACCCUCCCCCAACAAUAUCAUGACUAAGCCAAUACCCGACAACCAUCUCUCUCUUCUCGAAGAUACACCAGGCAACAAUAACGUCCAAAACCCCAAAAAUUCAUACCAAACAAACUGUCACCCCCAUGCCCGGGCCCCAGGUCGCUCUCAUUUCUCAUUAGGUAGCUCUUCCAGAAAAAAAGCAUGCUCCUCCGGUUCGUUGAUGGUGGCGAAAUGCUUUUGGCACUAAUAUGACAAGCAAAGAAGCGGUGAUUGGGGUCACCCAUAAGAAGUAGGAGGAAACAGUGUUCCACAUGAGUGGGAGGUCCAGAACCGCCAGGCCUUUUUUUUCUCACCCUCAUAGGGGAAGAACAAGAAAUCUUCGCUUGUGAUAAUCAGUCAUACCAUAUCUCAGGAGCUCUAAUGGCGGUGAACCACUGGGACGGCAACAGAAGUGAAGAGGAUCUAUGCUUCAAGAAGAUCAUCAUCCUAGUCCACAUGAUGGAUAUAUGGUGGAGUUUUAGAAUCAAGGAAAGUAUGAAAAGCAUCAUUAAACACUACUUCCCCAGCCUCAUCCAUAUCAUCACCGAUAUCGAGGACAUGUCUCGAUGGAGUCCAGAGGUGAAAGCACUCGUCAACUUUACGGUGGAGGAUCCCCUGACCCCGGGUUUCUACCAUGAAAAACCUG